ACUCCUACGGGAGGCAGCAGUAGGGAAUUUCCGCAAUGGACGAAGUCUGACGGAGCAAUGCCGCGUGAGUGAUGGAAGGUUUUCGAAUCGUAAGCUUCUGUUGUAAGGGAAGAAUAGCAAGAAUAGGAAAUGAUUCUUGUCUGACGGUACCUUACCAGAAAGCCACGGCUAACUACGUGCCAGCAGCCGCGGUAAUACGUAGGUGGCAAGCGUUAUCCGGAAUUAUUGGGCGUAAAGCGC
Molecule: ribosomal RNA, 240 nt
Filed under: uncultured bacterium
Lineage: Bacteria
Description: partial 16S ribosomal RNA
Rfam family: Bacterial small subunit ribosomal RNA
Source: RNAcentral